GGAGUGGUAGUUCAGUCGGUUAGAAUACCGGCCUGUCACGCCGGGGGGCGCGGGUUCGAGUCCCGUCCACUCCGCCA
Molecule: transfer RNA, 77 nt
Filed under: Trinickia terrae
Lineage: Bacteria; Pseudomonadati; Pseudomonadota; Betaproteobacteria; Burkholderiales; Burkholderiaceae
Also listed under: 1 other name
Description: Trinickia sp. 7GSK02 tRNA-Asp
Rfam family: tRNA
About the family: Transfer RNA (tRNA) molecules are approximately 80 nucleotides in length.
Source: RNAcentral